UUUGAUCUCCAUCUUCUUCAAGCUUAGGUCUCAAGUUAUUGGAGUAUUCUAGGAAAUUUGACAAGGAGUAUUUGGGUGAGCUAAAUACCUAAGAUUUGGGUGUUUCAGAGUAGUUAAGGACAUGUGAAUAGCACGAGCACAAGUGGUGGGGUCUCGAAGGUGACUUUUGAAACUAGGAGACUUAGUCCUAAUUUUGGAGCGUAUCACGGAUUUUUGUUUAUU
Molecule: long non-coding RNA, 222 nt
Organism: Ipomoea nil (Japanese morning glory)
Lineage: Eukaryota; Viridiplantae; Streptophyta; Magnoliopsida; Solanales; Convolvulaceae
Exons: 3
Source: RefSeq, a predicted model, not a curated record